GAUGAACGCUAGCGGGAGGCUUAACACAUGCAAGUCGAGGGGCAGCAUAGGGUAGCAAUACUCUGAUGGCGACCGGCAAACGGGUGAGUAACGCGUAUGCAACCUACCCUGUACAGGGGGAUAACCCGGAGAAAUUCGGACUAAUAUCCCGUAAUAAUAUCCGGAGGCAUCUUUGGAUAUUUAAAGUUUCGACGGUACGGGAUGGGCAUGCGUAACAUUAGCUGGUUGGUAAGGUAACGGCUUACCAAGGCUAUGAUGUUUAGGGGUCCUGAGAGGGUGGUCCCCCACACUGGUACUGAGACACGGACCAGACUCCUACGGGAGGCAGCAGUGAGGAAUAUUGGUCAAUGGGCGCAAGCCUGAACCAGCCAUCCCACGUGCAGGAAGACGGCCCUAUGGGUUGUAAACUGCUUUUCCAGGGAGAGAAACUUACGCACGUGUUGCGUGACUGACGGUACCCUGGGAAUAAGCAUCGGCUAACUCCGUG
Molecule: ribosomal RNA, 487 nt
Filed under: uncultured bacterium
Lineage: Bacteria
Description: bacterial SSU rRNA
Rfam family: Bacterial small subunit ribosomal RNA
Source: RNAcentral